Peromyscus eremicus (cactus mouse) is the source of this 508-nucleotide long non-coding RNA. RefSeq lists it as uncharacterized. The record is from RefSeq and is a predicted model, not a curated record. Lineage: Eukaryota; Metazoa; Chordata; Mammalia; Rodentia; Cricetidae. The transcript is spliced from 3 exons.
UAAAGUUGCCUGGGGUCAGAGCUAUUAGAGCCAUAGCAAGUGCGUGGCAGUGGUGGUGUACGCCUUUAAGGACCUGGAGGGCGGUACAUACAGGCAGUGACGAGGCAGUCACAUGAUUGGGUUUACAACCAAUCAGAAGCCAGAAAAGAGAGAUUAGAGAGACAGACACACAGGAAGGAGGGCUCCUUCUUUCGGAGAGCUCUCUUGGCUGAGGAGGAUCCCUGAAUCAGAAAGGCUGUCUACAUAUCAUGUAGGACUUCUGUCUAGAGAGGCCCACAUCUGGACAACUCUCUCUAUGUAAAGCUGCAAAGCAACCUAAGCAAAGCCUAUGAUAUCACAUAGAAACUGAGUCACCAGAAUCAGAGGAUGAAACAGCCAAGAAGUACAGGUAGUAAUAACACCAAUAAGGACCAGCCUUGUUGCUAUGUUUGGGUUUAAAAACAAGUCACUGGCAUCUAGUAGGUUGACCAAAUAUUUUAAAAUAUUAUCACAAAGAAAAGGUGAGCUU